This is a non-coding RNA of Triticum aestivum (bread wheat), 115 nucleotides long. NCBI's taxonomy places the organism in Eukaryota, Viridiplantae, Streptophyta, Magnoliopsida, Poales, Poaceae. The record is from Rfam.
CAAGUACUCCCUCCAUCCGGAAUUACUUGUCAUCAAAAUGGAUGUGUCUAGAACUAAAAUACAUCUAGAUACACCCAUUUCAAUGACAAGUAUUUUCGGACGGAGGGAGUACAAG